GGGCAGCAUCAGGAUCCUGGGCCUUCUUUAUGUAUGCCUCCUAAUAUUUCAUGAUAAUAGUUACAUGAAAUAUUAGAGGGCUUAAUAAAGCCCAUAAGCAGAAAGAACUGAAAAACUUUCUAGUUAGGAAUAAAGUUGAUGUUCUAGGUUGCCUUGAAACUAGGGUCAAAGAACACAAAGCACUUAGGAUUGUUAAUAAAAUUGCUAAAGGUUGGAAGGUUCAACACAACUACACCAAUGCUGUCA
RNAcentral lists this long non-coding RNA (246 nucleotides) under Nicotiana benthamiana. Its description in RNAcentral is "long non-coding RNA (NBEN_LNC013713)". Lineage: Eukaryota; Viridiplantae; Streptophyta; Magnoliopsida; Solanales; Solanaceae. The record is from RNAcentral.